This is a non-coding RNA of Petromyzon marinus (sea lamprey), 1736 nucleotides long. The record is from RefSeq and is a predicted model, not a curated record. Lineage: Eukaryota; Metazoa; Chordata; Hyperoartia; Petromyzontiformes; Petromyzontidae.
CAGAGCUGUCGGAAAGACGCUGUCUUUCCGUUGUGGCCGAAACGUCGUGAGAAUUUUUUAUUUUUUAUUUUAUUUCCCUUCUACGUGACUUUACCGAAAGAACCAAGAAUAUCAAUGAACCCAUUUAUAUUGCUGGGUAAAUAGAGGACGGGGGGAUUUAAGAAUCUUUGCCCCAUUGUUCCAACAUGCAUGUUUCAGUGGGAAAGUUAGUGGCCAUGUAGAGCAUACAAUGACGAAGUAUGUAUGUUGAACUUCUUUCGCACCAUACGUAGCCAGCUGUGCUAAUCGGAGGCGCGGGGGAAGGACAACAAACUAAAUACAAAAAGCAGUUAUAAAGAAAUGAGUUUUCAAUCUAGAUUAUUUAAAAGUGCAUCCUAGCUCCAGUGGGUUCCUAACAUCGGAAGGAAGAGCGUUCCAGACUUCUGCAGAAGAGCAACUAAAAGUGCCCGAUGGGGUGACCGUCUUCGUCCGAUGGCUGGCCAAUAGCCGCUUCGAGGAUGACCAAAGUUCGCGUGUUGGUUUACACUCCUUGACGAGAAAAACGAAACUUAUAAUAAUUCCGUUUGUGAUGCGAAUUUGCCCGGAGAAGCAUCACGAUUUUCAGAAGGCUUGCAAUGAGGUUCCUGUAUUGGAGCACUUGUCAGAUUUAUGUAUGAUGUGGAAGGAACCUCUGUUGUUUCUUUUUACAUGGAACCUCUUGAAGUGCAGGACAUCCCGUCCGUUGCCAUUGCAAGGUUUUAAUCGCCACCCAGAUGGACUAUCUUGUCUUGCUUCAGAAUCCACAACACGCUUCAAUUAAUUGCUAAUCGAGAAACUUGCUUUCCCUGCAAAAGUGAUUCUUUAACUGUGGAACCAUGUGGAAUGCACUGGGAGCCAUGUCUGUGUGGAUUUUUUUCAGAUUUUUCUAAAAUUUUCUACGAUAUUUCUCUUAGGAUUUGUCAAAUUUCUACAUUUUUCGUUAUCGUACCAACGUUUCAGAUUGUUCUGAUUAAUAAUCGACUCAAAUCGAGGAAUGGCUCAAACUCUGGCUCUUAUUCGUUCUGUUCGAGGAUAAGGUGUAACUUUCCCUUUCACAAUCCUUCAACCGUUGAUACUCAUACGCGCACGAUUUGAUGCAUGCAAUGUGAAUGUAAUAUUUUGAUUGGAUCGUUACAUGCCUAAACGUCAUAGCGUGGACAUUGAUCUCUUGUUACAAAAAUUGUCUAAAUAUUUUGACCGCGGCGUUUUUUACGAUUACACCGUAUUGACGCAAUGCAGAAAUAAUAUUCCUAAUACAACCUAGGGCCCUUUGUCAAUCCUCUGCAGGGUGAAGGGCUCCCCAUUCCAUUUCUGAUGUGGGAGAUCGACCAUACUUCACCACGCUGGUCAAUGCAAGUUGGUGAAAGGGGGCUGCCCAGGACAGGUUCAGAUUAUCACGUUUCCACUGAUGUUAGCCGUUGCUAGGUAUCGAUUUUACAUUUGUGCGUUGAUAGCACGGUGUGCUAAUCACUACGUCACUACUCCCCAUGAAGAUAUAACAAUGAAAUAUAUACACAUGCGUCUGUAUAUGUGUAUCUAUAUGUAUAUAUUAUUGUGCCUAUGUGUAUAUAUAGUUAGAUAUUUAACUAUAUCGUGCUGUAUAUGUGUCUGUAUACGUAUGUGCAACCCAUAUUCGUAAUAUUUAUUAAAGUCUCCUAAUAAUGGGCUCCCACAGCCACUGUGACGCAAAUAAAGCAUCUAAAGCCAGCCAAUAAUUU